RNAcentral lists this ribosomal RNA (385 nucleotides) under Dichotomius laevicollis. RNAcentral's name for it is "partial 16S ribosomal RNA". Lineage: Eukaryota; Metazoa; Arthropoda; Insecta; Coleoptera; Scarabaeidae. The record is from RNAcentral.
UAAAGUCUGACCUGCCCUAUGAGUUAUUAAAUGGCUGCGGUAUUUUGACCGUGCAAAGGUAGCAUAGUAAUUAGUUUUUUAAUUGAGAACUGGUAUGAAUGGUUUGACGAGAAAAAUACUGUCUCAAUUUAAUUUAAAUUAGAAUUUUAUUUUUAAGUAAAAAAGCUUAAAUAUUCUUAAAAGACGAGAAGACCCUAUAGAAUUUUAUAUUUAUGUAUAUAUUUGAAAGUUAAAGAAUUCAAGAUUUAAUUAUAUAUAGAGAUAUUUGGUUGGGGCAACUAAAAAAUUUAAUAAACUUUUUUUAUAAUAAAAACAUUGAUAUAUGAUUAAGUGAUCCAUAAAUUAUGAUUAUAAGAUUAAAUUACCUUAGGGAUAACAGCGUAAU